GAUUCCGGAGAGGGAGCCUGAGAAAUGGCUACCACAUCCAAGGAUGGCAGCAGGCGCGCAAAUUACCCACUCCCAGCUUGGGGAGGUAGUGACGAAAAAUAACAAUGCGGGACUCUAAGAGGCCCCGUAAUUGGAAUGAGUACACCUUAAAUCGUUUAUCGAGUAUCAAUUGGAGGGCAAGUCUGGUGCCAGCAGCCGCGGUAAUUCCAGCUCCAAUAGCGUAUAUUAAAGUUGCUGCAGUUAAAAAGCUCGUAGUUGGAUCUGGGGCUUGAGGUCGCUGUCUAUCGUUUCGGCGAAGACGGUGAUGCUCAGCUCUGCUUGCCGGUGACUGUUGCGGUGUUCUUCACUGAGCGCUGUAGCAGCACGGCACGUUUACUUUGAAAAAAUUAGAGUGCUCAAAGCGUGCUUGUCGCUUGAAUAAUGUUGCAUGGAAUAAUGGAAUAGGACCUCGGUUCUAUUUUGUUGGUUUUCGGAGCUUGAGGUAAUGAUUAAGAGGGACGAACGGGGGCAUUCGUAUUGCGGUGUUAGAGGUAAAAUUCUUGGAUCGCCGCAAGACGGACUACUGCGAAAGCAUUUGCCAAGAACGCUUUCAUUAAUUAAGAACGAAAGUCAGAGGUUCGAAGACGAUCAGACACCGUCCUAGUUCUGACCAUAAACGAUGCCGACCAGCGAUCCGUAGUGGUUGCUUUAUGGACCCUACGGGCAGCCUCCGGGAAACCAAAGUAUUUGGGUUCCGGGGGAAGUAUGGUUGCAAAGCUGAAACUUAAAGGAAUUGACGGAAGGGCACACCAGGAGUGGAGCCUGCGGCUUAAUUUGACUCAACACGGGAAAACUCACCCGGUCCGGACACCGUAAGGAUUGACAGACUGAUAGCUCUUUCUUGAUUCGGUGGAUGGUGGUGCAUGGCCGUUCUUAGUUGGUGGAGUGAUUUGUCUGGUUAAUUCCGAUAACGAACGAGACUCUAGCCUGCUAAGUAGUGUUGCUAUUGUUAUAUGGUUGACACUUCUUAGAGGGACAAGUGGCAUUUAGCCACGCGAAAUUGAGCAAUAACAGGUCUGUGAUGCCCUUAGAUGUCCGGGGCCGCACGCGCGCUACACUGGAGAAGUCAGCGUGUGUUAUCCAAGUCCGAAAGGACUGGGUAAUCCGUUGAACCUUCUUCGUGCUUGGGACUGUGGCUUGGAACUAUUCCACAUGAACGAGGAAUUCCUAGUAAUUGCAAGUCAUAAGCUUGCGUUGAUUACGUCCCUGCCCUUUGUACACACCGCCCGUCGCUACUACCGAUUGAAUGGUUUAGCAAGGUCCUCGGAUCGUGGCCGUAGGGGCACGCAAGUGUUUCUGCGGUUUGCGAGAAGACGACCAAACUUGAUCAUUUAGAGGAAGUAAAAGUCGUAACAAGGUU
RNAcentral lists this ribosomal RNA (1399 nucleotides) under metagenome. RNAcentral's name for it is "SSU rRNA". It matches the Rfam family "Eukaryotic small subunit ribosomal RNA", at positions 379 to 1801 of the family's 1831-position model. The record is from RNAcentral.